UCAUAGUUGAUUUGUAAUGCACUUGGUCCUAUUUUCAUCUUUUCAUGUGAUCCAUGCAAAUGCAUUGAAAGUCUCCUUCUUUCCAUGUAACCAUGCGCUGGUUUGGGGUCACCAGGGCCAUUGUCAGGAAGGGUUUGAUUAGGUUUCACAAUCAAAGCACAGAUUCCAUCAAAUUUAAGUCCUUCCCGUUGCUCACGGCAUGCAUCAUACGGUAGUAGACAGAUCUUGGCAUCAUUUCCCUUUAUCACAAGUAAAACAGAAUUGUUGUCAUCACAAAUAAUUCGUUUUAAUAUUAAUUGGUGUGAUAUGCUGCCCUAUAAGGUGGCGAAAAGUGUUUAACAAAAGAUUGGCUGCAUUUAAGAAAAGAUUAGCCCACUAAAAAUCCAAUCCCAAUGACUUUUAUAACUUGCUUUCCCUUUAUUUAUAUACAGAAUAUAAGCAAUAACUGCUAUCAGAAAUAUCUUCACGAAAUCUGAAAGUCCUCCAGUGAUUUUCAAACUAGUGAUCUAUGCUAACUCUUUUCUUAUCCAUCCCCAUGUCUUAUCCUAUAUUUCCCUCAUUGGUCCACAAACAAAACAUGGAAAAUGAUGUUCCACACCCAAUCCUGAACAAACCCCAAAAAGAAAAUUGGAUUAUAAGUUGCAAAAUGGAAGAAGAUAGAAAGAGAAUACCUAAGAAUCGACCAAGACAGCGGGAAAACCUACCAGUCAUGCCCUGAAUUAUUGUUGGAUGGCCUUCGCGGUGGCAAAAAGACGCCUUCAGAAGAACAU
This 770-nucleotide long non-coding RNA is filed under the name Prunus persica (peach). RNAcentral describes it as "long non-coding RNA (PPER_LNC003986)". The record is from RNAcentral. Lineage: Eukaryota; Viridiplantae; Streptophyta; Magnoliopsida; Rosales; Rosaceae.